GCCAUGAUCGUCUAGUGGUUAGGACAUUGCGUUGUGCCCGCAAUAACCCAGGUUCGAAUCCUGGUCUCGGCA
RNAcentral lists this transfer RNA (72 nucleotides) under Saccoglossus kowalevskii. RNAcentral describes it as "tRNA-His". It matches the Rfam family "tRNA". From Rfam's summary of the family: Transfer RNA (tRNA) molecules are approximately 80 nucleotides in length. Their secondary structure includes four short double-helical elements and three loops (D, anti-codon, and T loops). Lineage: Eukaryota; Metazoa; Hemichordata; Enteropneusta; Harrimaniidae. The record is from RNAcentral.